Molecule: ribosomal RNA, 1011 nt
Filed under: Triticum aestivum (bread wheat)
Lineage: Eukaryota; Viridiplantae; Streptophyta; Magnoliopsida; Poales; Poaceae
Description: partial small subunit ribosomal RNA
Source: RNAcentral
AUGGAGAGACUUGUUAAUGUUCAUUACAUUGACAAGGAGGCAUUCUUGAGUAACAAUGCCGACACGGGUGAGGAACCAUUUGUUUUUGAUACAAGCCCUAGCUAUGAGGAUGUUGUUGCAAAAGUGAGACAAGUUUUGAAGUGGAUGGACACCAAUGUUGAUGUUAAGUUAAUAGGAAGGUAUGAUGUUGGAGUUGGAGCCAAAUCUCGCUUGAAAAGUAUGCCUAUCACCUCAGAUUUGCAUUGGGAUGUAUACAAGGAAAAACUAUCCCAAUCGGAAGACAAGUCACUUGAAUUGUUUUCCACCAAGGUUGAAUCUCCUCGGUUUACCUUUGAUUUGAACCGGCAUGUCUCUUCCCCCAAUGGAGCAAAUGAGGUUGAGUUGUAUGCCCCCAAUGCUUCUAGCCAACCACCAACUAGCCAAGCAAAUGAAGUUGAGGUGAUUGCUAGUGACGGAGUAAUUCAAGAGGAUGAAGAUGCUUAUGAUGACAACGAAGAGCAAGAGGAAGGGUUUCAUGGUAAUGAUGUUGGUGACUUGUAUGCGUACAUAGCGCAAAAGGACAUGGAUCGUGACUUGCCUUUUAGGCGUCAAUAUGCCUAUGACUCGGAUGAUGAGGGUCCAGUUGAACAGUUGGACGAGGAUGGAUUCACAAAGGAGGAGAACCAAAUCCACUUUGAGCUGACGGGCUUACAAAAAAGAACUCACUUGUUUAAAGAUCUCAGCCUUGCCCAUAAAGCUAUUGUUGACGGUGGAAUGAGAAUGACGGUGAUUGAGCCAACACCAUGCCCGGAUCCAGGAGAACCAAGGGUGGAGAAUGAGGACGAGAAUGCUUAUUUGAAGAAAGGAGUGAAGUUUCUGAGCUUGCCUAUGCUGAAGUUUUGGUUGGCUGACUAUGCCAUUCGAAACCAUAGGCCAUUUUAUGUUGAGCACUCCGACAUGAAGUUGCAUUACACCGUGGUGUGUGAGCAAGAAGGAUGCCCAUGGAAGGUUGGUGCAAGAAAGCUUAAAUAA